GGUGUACAUAAUUGAUUUAAAUCACUUUUGUAUAUAUUUCAUAUGGCGGUGCACAUACUAACAGGAGGAUUAUACAACUAAGAAGAAACCGAGCGUCAUCUGUCGUCAUAAUGAUCGUUAGCAUAAUAGAGGGGAGGACAGGGGGAUACCCUUCUCCCUUCUCCCACCCCUCUUCUCCUUUCUCCUACCCCCGUUCUCCUUUCUCCCAUUAGAAUAAAACAUCUCCUUUUGAGAUAUAUUUUCUUGAAAUAUUAGAAAAAAUUUUAAAAGGAGAGAUAUUUUAUUUUUUCUCCUUUCUCCAACAUUUUCUCCUUUCUCCCAGCCUUCCUCUCCUUUCUCCUACCCCCUUUCUCCUUUCUCCCACCCCUUUCUCCUUUCUCCUAUCCCCUUUCUACCUGUCUCCCUUACCCCUGUCCUCCCCCUCAUAAUACAACGAUGACAUUUCACACAUUGACAUUUAACGAAUCGACAAGUUACAAAUCAUCAAUAUACAAAUAGACAAUUUACGAGUCGAC
RNAcentral lists this long non-coding RNA (515 nucleotides) under Mytilus galloprovincialis (Mediterranean mussel). The record is from RNAcentral. Lineage: Eukaryota; Metazoa; Mollusca; Bivalvia; Mytilida; Mytilidae.